RNAcentral lists this unclassified non-coding RNA (709 nucleotides) under Hevea brasiliensis (rubber tree). The record is from RNAcentral. Lineage: Eukaryota; Viridiplantae; Streptophyta; Magnoliopsida; Malpighiales; Euphorbiaceae.
UAUAGAAGUGGAUUUGAUGAAUUUCGUGCAAAGCAAGAAAGAAAGACUACGAUCCAAGUCUUCGUAUGAUCCAUCUGAUGUUAUUGGAACAUCAUCUGAAGAGGGAUAUAUUGGCAUUUCAAAGAAGAGUAAUGUAUUUGGAAGGUACUCUGCUGGUGCAGUUGAUACUGAUAGCAUCAGAAAGUGGAAUUCUCUUCAAGACCCAACCUAUAUGACUAGGUCUAUUGGCCAGUUGUCUGAUGGUACUCAGGACCUCUAUCAUGGUGUGGAAACUGGUCCCAACACUGAUAUUUCUGUUACAAAAGCCAAGGAGUUGAAAUUUGGGGCACUAACCACAAGCGAGAAUGAUGGAUUAUGGACAACAUUAGAAAGCAAGGACAACAGCUCAAACAUGGAACACACCUCCGCUCCUCAUCUGGAUGUCAAUGGGCUAAAUGGGCUAGUUGAUUCAGACCAUCUACAGAUUGCUCUUGAUGCUGGAGCUGAUAAUGAGUCUUCAUCUGACAUGGGGCUUAAUCACAUAAAACUUUCUGAUCUCCAGAUAAAUCCAACUCUGGAAACUGGACCAAGCAUCCCUCAGAUUCUUCAUUUGAUUUGCAAUGGUGAUGAUGGUAGUCCUGAUGCUAACAAGCGUGAUGCACUUCAACAAUUGGUCAAAGCUUCUGUUGCUAAUGAUCAAUCCAUCUGGAGCAAGUACUUCAAUCAGAUA